CAGCUCAAUGGUACGAUGGUCCAGUUUACUCGAAUGGGCAUCAGAUACCAACUGCUAGUUCCACAUCUUACCGUUCCAAUUCGUCUUCUAUGAGAAGUCAGAGCCAGCAUCCAACAACAAACCUCAUGGUGUGUUCGCCAAACAAAUUAUUUUCAUAAUAUUGUGUUGCAGAGUUUCUUUUUAAGUAAUUACUUGUGUCUGGCAUUCAAUGACAUCUAAAGCUUGCUCUCACAUACCAUUGGUAUUAAAUUGUACUUCCUUUCUUAAGACUGCACAUACAAAUGUGAUGUGUUUGCAUAUUUGGAUUAUUAUGAGAAAUAUAUGCAGUGUACCUGAAUAAAUCUUAGCUGUUGGUUUCAUUUAUUUCCAGGGUAUACAUGCACAGAUGCCUUCGUCUGGAAUGGGUCUGACCUCACCUAGAUAUCCUUCUAGGAUGUACCCAGACAACAGAUUAUAUGGGCAGUAUGGUCAGUAUGGGAACACACUGAAGGGUGGCCUUGGUUUUGGAUCAAACAUGUAUAGCUCGAGAAACAAU
Molecule: long non-coding RNA, 535 nt
Filed under: Zea mays
Lineage: Eukaryota; Viridiplantae; Streptophyta; Magnoliopsida; Poales; Poaceae
Description: long non-coding RNA (ZMAY_LNC000127)
Source: RNAcentral